This 292-nucleotide small RNA is filed under the name Drosophila pseudoobscura pseudoobscura. RNAcentral's name for it is "GA31650". Lineage: Eukaryota; Metazoa; Arthropoda; Insecta; Diptera; Drosophilidae. The record is from RNAcentral.
AAAAAAACAAAAAAUAUACGAACUUUAUCAGGCUGUAUAUUAACAAAGCAACCAGGUCAGAUAUUUUUGUUUGCUAGAAUCGAUGAGAAAAUCAAACAUAUCGAUACCAAAAAUGUGAGCACCGAAAAACGAAACGUUUUGGCUGGAAGCCCGGGUCGGUAUUCUCUAAAUGGGUCCUGAGCACACCAUUAUUUUGUUGGCAAUGGAACAUGUCGGGCUAUCAGCAGUAGAUGAUGGCGUCGCUGCCCGGGCAACCACCAUGAAGAUGACAAUGUUUCAAAGAGAUACAAAA